RNAcentral lists this ribosomal RNA (450 nucleotides) under uncultured bacterium. RNAcentral's name for it is "partial 16S ribosomal RNA". It matches the Rfam family "Bacterial small subunit ribosomal RNA", at positions 354 to 796 of the family's 1533-position model. The record is from RNAcentral.
GUGGGGAAUAUUGGACAAUGGGCGAAAGCCUGAUCCAGCCAUGCCGCGUGUGUGAAGAAGGUCUUCGGAUUGUAAAGCACUUUAAGUUGGGAGGAAGGGCAUUAACCUAAUACGUUAGUGUUUUGACGUUACCGACAGAAUAAGCACCGGCUAACUCUGUGCCAGCAGCCGCGGUAAUACAGAGGGUGCAAGCGUUAAUCGGAAUUACUGGGCGUAAAGCGCGCGUAGGUGGUUCGUUAAGUUGGAUGUGAAAUCCCCGGGCUCAACCUGGGAACUGCAUCCAAAACUGGCGAGAUAGAGUAGGGCAGAGGGUGGUGGAAUUUCCUGUGUAGCGGUGAAAUGCGUAGAUAUAGGAAGGAACACCAGUGGCGAAGGCGACCACCUGGGCUCAUACUGACACUGAGGUGCGAAAGCGUGGGGAGCAAACAGGAUUAGAAACCCUGGUAGUCC